GACGUAGGAUGCAAGCGUUGUCCGGAUUUAUUGGGCGUAAAGAGUUCGUAGGUGGUUUGUUAAGUCUGAUGUUAAAGAUCGGGGCCCAACCCCGGGAGUGCAUUGGAUACUGGCAGACUGGAGUGUAGUAGAGGCAAGCGGAAUUCCCAGUGUAGCGGUGAAAUGCGUAGAUAUUGGGAAGAACACCAGUGGCGUAAGCGGCUUGCUGGGCUAUAACUGACACUGAGGAACGAAAGCCAGGGGAGCGAAUGGG
RNAcentral lists this ribosomal RNA (253 nucleotides) under uncultured bacterium. Its description in RNAcentral is "partial 16S ribosomal RNA". It matches the Rfam family "Bacterial small subunit ribosomal RNA", at positions 524 to 776 of the family's 1533-position model. The record is from RNAcentral.